GAAAUGCGAUAAGUAAUGUGAAUUACAGAAUUCAGUGAAUCAUCGAAUCUUUGAACGCACCUUGCGCUCCUUGGUAUUCCUUGGAGCAUGCCUGUUUGAGUAUCAUGAAAUCUUCAAAGUAAAUCUUUUGUUAACUCAAUUGGUUUCUACUUUGGUAUUGGAGGUCUUUGCAGCUUCACACCUGCUCCUCUUUGUUCAUUAGCUGGAUCUCAGUGUUAUGCUUGGUUCCACUUGGCGUGAUAAGUUAUCUAUCGCUGAGGACACUGUAAAAGGUGGCCAAGGUAAAUGCAGAUGAACCGCUUCUAAUAGUCCAUUGACUUGGACAAUACUUUUAUGAUCUGAUCUCAAAUCAGGUAGGACUACCCGCUGAACUUAAGC
Molecule: unclassified non-coding RNA, 378 nt
Filed under: plant metagenome
Description: partial contains 5.8S ribosomal RNA, internal transcribed spacer 2, and large subunit ribosomal RNA
Rfam family: 5.8S ribosomal RNA (bases 1-105)
Source: RNAcentral